UAACCUGCCCAAGAGAUCGGGAUAACACCUGGAAACAGAUGCUAAUACCGGAUAACAACAGAUGAUGCCUAUCAACUGUUUAAAAGAUGGGUUCUGCUAUCACUCUUGGAUGGACCUGCGGUGCAUUAGCUAGUUGGUAGGGUAACGGCCUACCAAGGCGAUGAUGCAUAGCCGAGUUGAGAGACUGAUCGGCCACAUUGGGACUGAGACACGGCCCAAACUCCUACGGGAGGCAGCAGCC
Molecule: ribosomal RNA, 241 nt
Filed under: uncultured Lactobacillus sp.
Lineage: Bacteria; Bacillati; Bacillota; Bacilli; Lactobacillales; Lactobacillaceae
Description: partial 16S ribosomal RNA
Rfam family: Bacterial small subunit ribosomal RNA
Source: RNAcentral